Molecule: ribosomal RNA, 253 nt
Filed under: uncultured bacterium
Lineage: Bacteria
Description: partial 16S ribosomal RNA
Rfam family: Bacterial small subunit ribosomal RNA
Source: RNAcentral
UACGAAGGGGGCUAGCGUUGCUCGGAAUCACUGGGCGUAAGGGGUGCGUAGGCGGGUUUUUAAGUCAGGGGUGAAAUCCUGGAGCUCAACUCCAGAACUGCCUUUGAUACUGAAGAUCUUGAGUUCGGGAGAGGUGAGUGGAACUGCGAGUGUAGAGGUGAAAUUCGUAGAUAUUCGCAAGAACACCAGUGGCGAAGGCGGCUCACUGGCCCGAUACUGACGCUGAGGCACGAAAGCGUGGGGAGCAAACAGG